AUGUCAACACUUGGGACAAAACUACCUUUUAAAACAUUCAGAGAGUGGUUUACCAGAGUGCUCCUGGCUCAAGUCCCUGCUUGGACACAUGUUAAGUGUGUGACUGCUCCAAGCCCCUGUCCCCUCUGGGAAACUCAGACUUUGAGGGUACAGCCCCAGCUUCAGAAGAUUACAAGAAGUAGAUGGCUGUCUGGCAACUUUGAGUGUGUGUCCCACACACACUGCACCGCUAGUGAUCCACCGGAAAAUGUAUUGAGUACUGCGAUUAUCUUGUCAAUAACAAGUAUUGUAUCAUGAUUUUUUGUGUGUGGCAUUUAAAUUACAUCCAAAUUACUGCAACUUUCCUCAUUUUUAAUAUACUGGGAACCUUGAAAAUGUACUGGGGCCAGGCUGCUCUCCACUCUAGGUCCACUAGAGGAAGGAAACAGACGUCCUCCCCCCUUUUCCUGGCGGUGUGGCCUUAGGGAAGUAGUGGCAGGGGCAUGGGGAGCGCAGGCCUGUGGUUCUGGCCCAGCCUGGGGCCACCUAGGUGAGAGUGAGCCUGGGGUCCACCAAGGCGGUACUGUGAAAAUCCCCAUCGAGAGAGGCACAAUGAGAGACAAACCAGCUCAGGUUUGGUCAUGGUCCAGAAGCUGGCAUUUAAUUCUCCCUGAGGACCCCCAGGAAUAGGGACUAUUGCACCCAUUUUGCAGGUGAGGAAAGUGAAAUUCAGAGAAGUGAACUCUUUGCCCAGUGAACUUGUUCCAGCUAAUGAGGAGUGAGGGGUGGUGCUGGGAUGGAAACCCAGCCCCCCCUGGCCUCAGGCCCCUCACUCAUUCCCCUCCUGCCUGUUGGCACCAGGCUCAGGAUUCAGACGACGUCUCAACUUCCUGGUACCUAGCCAGCCUGGGAAGCCAAAGUCUCUGUCCAGGAAUUCGGGUGGUACUUGGGGCCAGUGCUGAGUGGGCACAGGCUGCUGGGGUGGCUGCCUUUUAGCAGGAUCGAAGGCAUCACUUCGUCCUUUGUCAGUUUUUGUUUGGUCAGAGUGAUGAAUUACUGAGCCAGAAGCCGAGAGAGGAGACGCCGUCUGGGCUGAGAUGGCCUGGGCAGGCAGGACCACGUGUCUGACCCUCAGGCUGGCCUGGAGCAGUAGUCCCUUGGGUCUCCAGACCCCUCUGCCAGGGGGCCUGGGUGUGUCUGGGAGGGCUCUCUGCUCAUAGGCAGGAGAGACGAGUACAGAAAGAGACUCUUCCGGAAGGUGAGUCUUCCCUGCAGGGUGAAGACAAGGUGACAGGGCUGGGCUCAGAAAGAAUAGCAC
This 1297-nucleotide long non-coding RNA is filed under the name Felis catus (domestic cat). RNAcentral describes it as "lncRNA (ENSFCAG00000044900.2)". The record is from RNAcentral. Lineage: Eukaryota; Metazoa; Chordata; Mammalia; Carnivora; Felidae.